Molecule: unclassified non-coding RNA, 154 nt
Filed under: uncultured Sordariomycetes
Lineage: Eukaryota; Fungi; Ascomycota; Sordariomycetes
Description: sequence contains ITS1
Rfam family: 5.8S ribosomal RNA (bases 1-105)
About the family: 5.8S ribosomal RNA (5.8S rRNA) is a component of the large subunit of the eukaryotic ribosome.
Source: RNAcentral
AAAAUGCGAUAAGUAAUGUGAAUUGCAGAAUUCAGUGAAUCAUCGAAUCUUUGAACGCACAUUGCGCCCGCCAGUAUUCUGGCGGGCAUGCCUGUUCGAGCGUCAUUUCAACCCUCAAGCCCCCGGGUUUGGUGUUGGGGAUCGGCAUUAGCCA